AUGAACGCUAGCGACAGGCCUAACACAUGCAAGUCGAGGGGCAGCACAAGGAGCAAUCUGAGGUGGCGACCGGCGCACGGGUGAGUAACACGUAUGCAACCUGCCUGUAAGCGGGGAAUAACCCGUUGAAAGACGGACUAAUACCGCAUAAUACUAAAUUACUGCAUGGUAAUUUAUUUAAACAUUUAUGGCUUACGGAUGGGCAUGCGCAUGAUUAGCUAGUUGGAGAGGUAACGGCUCCCCAAGGCAACGAUCAUUAGGGGUUCUGAGAGGAAGGUCCCCCACACUGGUACUGAGACACGGACCAGACUCCUACGGGAGGCAGCAGUGAGGAAUAUUGGUCAAUGGACGAGAGUCUGAACCAGCCAAGUCGCGUGCAGGAAGAAUGUCCUAAUGGAUUGUAAACUGCUUUUGCAGGGGAAUAAAGUGCAUCACGUGUGAUGUUUUGUAUGUACUCUGCGAAUAAGGAUCGGCUAACUCCGUGCCAGCAGCCGC
RNAcentral lists this ribosomal RNA (495 nucleotides) under uncultured bacterium. RNAcentral describes it as "bacterial SSU rRNA". It matches the Rfam family "Bacterial small subunit ribosomal RNA", at positions 29 to 518 of the family's 1533-position model. The record is from RNAcentral.